GCAAGUCGGACGGGAUUCAGGUUAGUAGCUUGCUUCAAACUGAUGAGAGUGGCGCACGGGUGCGUAACGCGUGAGCAACCUACCCAUAUCAGGGGGAUAGCCUCUCGAAAGAGAGAUUAACACCGCAUAACAUCAUUUACCGGCAUCGGUUGAUGAUCAAAUAUUUAUAGGAUAUGGAUGGGCUCGCGUGACAUUAGCUAGUUGGAGGGGUAACGGCCCACCAAGGCUACGAUGUCUAGGGGCUCUGAGAGGAGAAUCCCCCACACUGGUACUGAGACACGGACCAGACUCCUACGGGAGGCAGCAGUAAGGAAUAUUGGUCAAUGGAGGGAACUCUGAACCAGCCAUGCCGCGUGCAGGAUGACUGCCCUAUGGGUUGUAAACUGCUUUUGUCAGGGAAUAAACCUUUCCACGUGUGGGAAGCUGAAUGUACCUGAAGAAUAAGGAUCGGCUAACUCCGUGCCAGCAGCCGCGGUAAUACGGAGGAUCCAAGCGUUAUCCGGAUUUAUUGGGUUUAAAGGGUGCGUAGGCGGUCCUAUAAGUCAGUGGUGAAAGACGGCAGCUUAACUGUCGCAGUGCCUUUGAUACUGUAGGACUUGAAUCUAUUUGAAGUGGGCGGAAUAAGACAAGUAGCGGUGAAAUGCAUAGAUAUGUCUUAGAACUCCGAUUGCGAAGGCAGCUCACUAAGUUAGUAUUGACGCUG
RNAcentral lists this ribosomal RNA (703 nucleotides) under Sphingobacterium sp. Y4_251_4. RNAcentral describes it as "bacterial SSU rRNA". It matches the Rfam family "Bacterial small subunit ribosomal RNA", at positions 57 to 748 of the family's 1533-position model. The record is from RNAcentral. Lineage: Bacteria; Pseudomonadati; Bacteroidota; Sphingobacteriia; Sphingobacteriales; Sphingobacteriaceae.